UCUCCGUUGGUGAACCAGCGGAGGGAUCAUUACAGAGUUGCAAAACUCCCACACCCUUUGUGAACGCACUGAAACUACUGCUUCGGCGGGCAGCCCUUCAGGGGGUAGCCCGCCGGAGAAGCACUAAACUCUUCGUUAUUUACUGGCCUCUCUGAGUAACUUAUACAAUAAGUCAAAACUUUCAACAACGGAUCUCUUGGUUCUG
This 205-nucleotide unclassified non-coding RNA is filed under the name root metagenome. Its description in RNAcentral is "partial contains small subunit ribosomal RNA, internal transcribed spacer 1, and 5.8S ribosomal RNA". The record is from RNAcentral.